ACUCGAAUAGCCUAUAUAGGGCGUGGCACUGAAGAUGCCGAGGAAACUUAAAGUUUUUGAGUA
RNAcentral lists this transfer RNA (63 nucleotides) under Epicauta aptera. Its description in RNAcentral is "tRNA-Phe". Lineage: Eukaryota; Metazoa; Arthropoda; Insecta; Coleoptera; Meloidae. The record is from RNAcentral. RNAcentral also lists the same sequence under 3 other names.